UGAAAUGGAUAUAUAUAAGUACUUCUUGCUCCUAUAUAUCAUUCUGUCAUAGAAGUACUCAAAAGAAAGAGUGAUCAAUCUGAAUAAUUUUACAAUAGCAUGGGCAUCUCCAAGUCCAAAGCUCUUAUUGCCUCACUAAUCUUUCUUCUUUUUCUCUUAUCUGCUGCAGAAAAUCAUGAGCUUAUAGCAGCAGUAAUAAUAUUGAUGCAAUAUCAAAAGCACUCAAAGCUCGUCCUAAUUAUACAAUAAAUUGUGGAAACGAAUGUACGAGGAGGUGCAAGUUAGCAUCUAGACAGAAAAUCUGCAAGAGAGCAUGUGGGACAUGUCGUGCCCGUUGCAACUGCGUGCCGCCAGGAACUUCUGGAAAUGAGAAUGCCUGUCCAUGCUAUUCUACUAUGACUACUCAUGGCAAAAGACGCAAGUGCCCUUAAUUAGUACUUGACUCGUACGUGCUUUCAAACUGUAUGCACGUGCGCCCACUACUUAUAUUCUAGAUAUGCUUCUGUGUGCGUUAUUAAGAAAUAAGAAAGAGUAUGAGUUUAAAGGGAUUGUAUGAUCAAGUGAAGAGCUGCUGCUGCUGCAUAAUUUCAAAUUAAAUAUGGAUCCCUUGGUUAA
Long non-coding RNA from Nicotiana attenuata, 615 nucleotides. RefSeq lists it as uncharacterized. The record is from RefSeq and is a predicted model, not a curated record. Lineage: Eukaryota; Viridiplantae; Streptophyta; Magnoliopsida; Solanales; Solanaceae. The transcript is spliced from 2 exons.